CAGAAGGUCAUAGGCCUAGUAAUGGUGAAGCCAGAACUGGACCCAGGUUCCUGCCUUCAAAUCCCUGUUCUGUCCAUUUCCAGGUCAGCCUUCCUGCUGUCUGCCGGUUUCUGGAUGCUCAAGUCUGAAUGAAGUCAGUCCUGUGAUUCAUCUGUCACAACUCCAUGGGGGAGAGUUCCUCUUCUCUGCUCUCUACUGGCGCAUUGCACACUUGGGCAUUUAUGGUUGCUGGUGAAUACUGAUAUUUAAAUGAACUUCCUCCUUCAUGACCAAACACACAGGAGCUUUACGUAAUCCCCGGACCCCACGUGAUGCUAAUGUAUAGAUUUAGCAGGCAGUAAGUAUGACCCGGCUUAUGAGAGUUUCACAGCUUGCCACCAC
Molecule: long non-coding RNA, 381 nt
Filed under: Equus caballus (horse)
Lineage: Eukaryota; Metazoa; Chordata; Mammalia; Perissodactyla; Equidae
Description: lncRNA (ENSECAG00000059148.1)
Source: RNAcentral